CCCUUAGAUGUUCUGGGCCGCACGCGCGCUACACUGAUGCAUUCAACGAGUUUCUUCCUGGUCCGAGAGGAAUGGGUAACCUUUUGAAAGUGCAUCGUGAUAGGGAUAGACCAUUGCAAUUAUUGGUCUUCAACGAGGAAUUCCUAGUAGACAUAGUUCAUCAGACUGCAUCGAUUACGUCCCUGCCCUUUGUACACACCGCCCGUCGCUCCUACCGAUUGAAUGCUCAGGUGAGCCAUUCGGACUUUCAUCAUGCUGGUUUCCAGUUUUGAUGAAGGAAAGUCUUGCGAACCUUAUCAUUUAGAGGAAGGAGAAGUCGUAACA
Molecule: ribosomal RNA, 324 nt
Filed under: uncultured eukaryote
Lineage: Eukaryota
Description: partial 18S ribosomal RNA
Rfam family: Eukaryotic small subunit ribosomal RNA
Source: RNAcentral